Dermochelys coriacea (leatherback sea turtle) is the source of this 1202-nucleotide long non-coding RNA. RefSeq lists it as uncharacterized. Lineage: Eukaryota; Metazoa; Chordata; Testudines; Dermochelyidae. The transcript is spliced from 3 exons. The record is from RefSeq and is a predicted model, not a curated record.
GGGUUGCUUUCUAACCAUGGUGCCUCUUUGCCUUCUGGGGAAAGAAUGAGGUCUAGGGUUAAGGAGCAGAGUUAAAAAGAAUCCAGAGGUUUGCAAUAGAGAUUGAUCUAAAUACAACAAUCCUCUGCAUGGGUCAUGAGUAGAGCAUGAAUGCAGGACCACCACAGCUCAGACCUCUACUGCUUAAGCGAAAGGGUUAACUCCAUUAGCUGGUAAUAGUCAUAGACUGUUAUCUUCCAUCAGAAGAGGACACAGCACACAGUGGGCAAGCAUGUUACACAAGUACCUCUGGACUUCAGGGAAGGGACCUCUUGUUUAGAUGUGGAGGAAAUCUGGGGUGAGGGAAAGAGAGAGUGGAGAGCCCGUGUGUUCUGGAAUGGAGGACAGGUUUGCCAAAUCCCUGUGUCUGCCUGUGAGACGGGAACAUCUCUGUUUUGUUUAAAUGAUCUCUGCUCCCUGGUAGCUGCUGCUACUGAUUAGCCACCUGUGGCUCUUCCAAUCUGUCCCAGCUGGGCUCAUCCUCUCCCCAGAAUGUGUCCAUUUGCUUCACCACCUCAGACUGUGAAUCCCAUUGCAAAAGAGGAAGCUGCUGCUGCUUCCUAAGAGCUCUGAACAAGCCACACCAAGCAUGAGGAUAUCUCAGAUACAGGCCAGCCAACACCCUCAGAGGAGGCAAUAACAGGGGAAGUGAAAGCAGGAGAGUCUUGCUGUGCCAUCAGGAAGGAGAGGCCAGAUUCACUGGACCUGUGGAUAUGCUAAUUCUUUUGCCUGGAUUGCCUGAGUUUUCCUUAUCUUCUGCACAAGAUCCCAUCUCCCAGGAGGUGGUCACAGAAGAGAGAGAGAGAAACACAGCUGGAUUGUCUGAGACUUUGCAGCCAAUUCUCCUCUUGAAUUGCAAAAUGAACAGCUCGGAUCUGGAAGUCUCUGAAGAAGAAGAAAUAUGAAACCUCAUUCCUCCCCCCCAUCACCACUUUUGUGAGCAUAAUGUUGUUUAAGGAGCUGUGAGUCAGCCCAAGUGAUAUGAGAUGUUCUUGCCACUAAGGAAAAUAGUGAGCAUUCAUUAAGAAAUACUAUUUUUAUUUAUUUAUUAUUUGUAUUGCUUAAGAGCUUCUGUUAAGGGCCAAGACUCCCUUGUACAAACACAGAACAAGGAGAUGGCCCCUGCAAUUUGAAAAGCAUUAAAGGAUCCUUUCAACAGGAAA